GAAGAAGAGAAACUCCCAUCACUUUCAGCACCAACAUGUUCUCUGUAGCUCUGCUGUUACUGCUGGCUGCUGCAUCCUGUGUGAAGUGUGAGCAGCUGACACAGCCAGCCUCUGUGACUCUGCAGCCAGGUCAACGUCUGACCAUCAGCUGUCAGGUCUCUUAUUCUCUGGGCAGCUACUAUACUGCUUGGAUCAGACAAGCUGCUGGGAAAGGACUGGAGUGGAUUGGGAUGAAACAUGGUGGUGGAUCUUCAUUCUACAAAGAUUCACUGCGAAACAAAUUCAGUAUCGACUUAGACACUUCCAGUAAAACAGUGACUCUGAAUGGGCAGAAUAUGCAGCCUGAAGACUCUGCAGUGUAUUACUGUACCAGACACGACCACAGUGUCAAGUGUGAUCAGCUGACACAACCAGCUGCUCAGACUGUGCAGCCAGGUCAGCGUCUGACCAUCAGCUGUCAGGUCUCCUAUUCCCUGGACAGCUAUCCUACAUUUUGGAUCAGACAGGCUGCUGGGAAAACACUGGAGUGGAUCGGUGCUGCACGGACUGGAUACACCACAAGCUACAAUAAUAUGAUGACAAACAAGUUCAGCAUUACUUUACAGGAUUCCAGUAAAACAGUGACUCUGAAUGGACAGAAUAUGCAGCCUGAAGACUCUGCUGUGUAUUACUGUGCCAGAAUGGACGGCACCACACAGUGA
Non-coding RNA from Xiphophorus hellerii (green swordtail), 701 nucleotides. Lineage: Eukaryota; Metazoa; Chordata; Actinopteri; Cyprinodontiformes; Poeciliidae. The record is from the annotation of a RefSeq genome assembly.